UACAGAGGGGGCAAGCGUUGUCCGGAUUUACUGGGCGUACAGCGCGCGCAGGCGGAGCUGGACGUGCCGUGUGACAAGCCACCGCUCACCGGUGGAGGGCCACGGUACACGACAGCUCUGGAGGCAGGGAGAGGGAUGUGGAAUGCCCGGUGGAGCGGUGAAAUGCGUAGAGAUCCGGAAGAACACCGGUGGCGAAGGCGGUCUGCUGGGCAGUUGCUGACACUGAGGCGCGACAGCGUGGGGAGCAAACAGG
This 253-nucleotide ribosomal RNA is filed under the name uncultured bacterium. RNAcentral describes it as "partial 16S ribosomal RNA". It matches the Rfam family "Bacterial small subunit ribosomal RNA", at positions 524 to 776 of the family's 1533-position model. The record is from RNAcentral.